Molecule: transfer RNA, 84 nt
Filed under: Candidatus Pacearchaeota archaeon
Lineage: Archaea; Nanobdellati
Description: tRNA-Leu
Rfam family: tRNA
About the family: Transfer RNA (tRNA) molecules are approximately 80 nucleotides in length. Their secondary structure includes four short double-helical elements and three loops (D, anti-codon, and T loops).
Source: RNAcentral
GUGGGUGUGCCGGAGUGGUCAAACGGGCAGGACUUAAGAUCCUGUGGCUUAGUGCCUGCGCAGGUUCGAACCCUGUCACCCACA